This 299-nucleotide ribosomal RNA is filed under the name uncultured bacterium. RNAcentral describes it as "partial 16S ribosomal RNA". It matches the Rfam family "Bacterial small subunit ribosomal RNA", at positions 775 to 1067 of the family's 1533-position model. The record is from RNAcentral.
GGAUUAGAUACCCUGGUAGUCCACGCCGUAAACGAUGCACACUAGGUCGGGGGAGCUCUCACGCUUUCCCGGCCGAAGGUAAACUGAUUAGUGUGCCGCCUGGGGAGUACGGUCGCAAGGCUAAAACUCAAAGGAAUUGACGGGGGCUCACACAAGCGGUGGAGCAUGUUGCUUAAUUCGAGUCAACGCGAAGAACCUUACCUGGUCUUGACAUGUGCGGAUUAACCUAUGGAAACAUAGGCCACGCCCUUUGGGUGGAACGUACACAGGUGCUGCAUGGCUGUCGUCAGCUCGUGCCG